GACGAACGCUGGCGGCGUGCUUAACACAUGCAAGUCGAACGGAAAGGCCCUGCUUUUGGGGGGUGCUCGAGGGGCAAACGGGGGAGUAACACGGGGGUAACCUGCCCUUGCCUUUGGGAUAACUUCGGGAAACUGGGGCUAAUACCGGAUAGGAGCUCCUGCGGCAGGGGGGGGGUGGGAAAGUUUCGGCGGUUGGGGUGGGACUCGCGGCUUUUCAGCUUGUUGGUGGGGUAGUGGCUUACCAAGGCUUUGACGGGUAGCCGGCCUGAGAGGGUGACCGGCCACAUUGGGACUGAGAUACGGCCCAGACUCCUACGGGAGGCAGCAGUGGGGAAUAUUGCACAAUGGGCGGAAGCCUGAUGCAGCAACGCCGCGUGCGGGAUGACGGCCUUCGGGUUGUAAACCGCUUUCGCCUGUGACGAAGCGUGAGUGACGGUAAUGGGUAAAGAAGCACCGGCUAACUACGUG
Molecule: ribosomal RNA, 468 nt
Filed under: uncultured bacterium
Lineage: Bacteria
Description: partial 16S ribosomal RNA
Rfam family: Bacterial small subunit ribosomal RNA
Source: RNAcentral